Molecule: long non-coding RNA, 6337 nt
Filed under: Sus scrofa (pig)
Lineage: Eukaryota; Metazoa; Chordata; Mammalia; Artiodactyla; Suidae
Description: lncRNA (ENSSSCG00000049830.2)
Source: RNAcentral
CAUAUUAAUGUAGGUAAAUAGCUAAUGUUAUACAGAGUUCAGGAGGAAUUAGAUUAUUAGAUUUCCUCCCUUGUGGAUUGUCUUAAUCUGCUGAGGCUGCUAUAACAAAUACCAUGGAAUGGGUAUCUUAAAUAAUAGAAACUGAUUUCUCACAAUUCUGGAAGGCCGCAAUCAGGGUGCCAACAUGGCUGGGUUGUGGGUUGUGCCCUUUUAUUGGUUUGUAAACAGUAUCUUCUUUUUGGAUCUUCACAUGAUGGGGGGGCAGGAAGCAAACUCUUUGUGUCUCUUGGGGUUUUUUUUGUUUGUGUUUGUUUUUGUUUUUUGUUUCAUUUUUUUUUUGUUUUUUGGGUUUUUCUGUUUUUGAGGGCCGCAGGUGUGGCAUAUGGAAGUUCCCAGGCUAGGGAUCUGAGCCGUGUCUGCAACCUACACCACAGCUCACCACAACUGAGCAAGGCCAGUGAUUGAACCCACAUCUUCAUGGAUACUAGUUGGGUUCCUUACUGCUGAGCCACAGCAGGAACUCUCUUGUAAAAAAGGUGUUAAUCCCAUCAUGAGGGCUCUACCCCCAUGAGCUAAUUACUUCCCAAAGGUUCCAUCUCCAAAUAUCAUUACAUCCGCAUUAAGACUUCAACAAAGGAAUUUAGUGGGGAGACACAAAUAUUCAAUUCUUAUUUUUCACACCUAAUCAAAGAAGUACAAAUUAUGCAAUCAAAACUUAAAACUGAGUAGUUUAUAUUGUCCAUAGAAUUUUAAGAGUUUAAAUCAGAAUGGAGCUUGCAUUUACAAAACAGGUAACAAAGCCCUUUGUUACCAUCAUUUCAAAAUGUAGAUAAGAAUUGUAUUUCUUAUUGGCUGCUUUUAACUUUGUUGAAGGUACAUUAAAUUAUGUUAAUGCGUCAGUGGGGAUAUAUUUUGCCUUCACUUUACUACCCAUUGAACAAUUGCUUUAUUUUUACAGAAUUACAGAUAGGAAUGGAAAAUAGGCACCCCAUAAACUAGAGAAGUACUUGAGAGUAACCCCUUGGAAUAACCAAGGAAAGAAGAGCUAGAAAGAGUGGAGGUAUUAAAUUAUAGGAUAUUUUCAGAGAAAUACAAUGUUUGAAAAAACUGCAAGUGCCUGAGACAAUUCAAACUAAUCGAUGAACUACCAUAAUAGUGGUUCUUAUGAGAUUUGGUUUAAUGUCUAGAAGAAAAUUAUCUAAAAUUAGCAUAUCAGUUAUUUGCAGGUAAACAGAUGUUUUAUUUCUGCAGCUUGAGGGUGUUCAAAAACAAUUUGUUUACUGAAAUAACUUAUAAAUCUUCCUCCAGCAAUCUUAUUUUAUUUUAUGAAUUAACCUGGAUAUAUUAAUGCAAAGUUUGCAGAGUUCCUGUUGUGGCUCAGUGAGUUAAGAACCUGAUAUACCUUCUGUGAGAAUGUGGGUUCGAUCCCUGGCCUCGCUUGGUGGGUUAAGGAUCCAGCACUGCUAUGGCUAUGGCAUGGGCUGGCAGCUGCAGCUUUGAUCCGACCCCUAUGCUCCAGGUGUGGGCUUAGAAAAAUUAAUUAACUAACUAAUUAAAGCAAAGUUUGCCACACACUCCCCUCCUGGGUGCCGCACCUUCCAUUUAGCUAAGCCACAAAUCUGUACAUUUGUGGUAUUAACUGCUAGCCUUCUCCCUCAUCUUUGUUAUCUGAAAGACAAGAUUAUGCUUUUUCAUUUAAUAAGUGCUGCUUCUAUCAAAAUAAGUUUUGUCAUUAAAAUACUUAAAUAUUACUAUCAAAAUAUUUAAUCAUAAACAAGAUUUGAAAAGACUGUCUAAAUAGAAUAUGAUAUUUUCCCGACUAUAUUUUACAUCUUAUGAAUAGUUAUUUGAUCCAAUCUUAGCAUUGCCGGGAAUAGAGUUGUUCAGAAGCAGGGUGGACUCCUAACAGGGACAACAUCUCAAAACUUGUCCUUGACACUCGGCCAGGCACAUUUACCACCAGCAAUCCCUAAGACAGAACAAGGAAGAAGAAUCAUCACUACAGACAGUACGUUUGGUUAAGAGGAUAUGUUAAACAGAAAAAUGAUUUCUGUCUUCAAAAGAGUUAAAAAGGAGUUUCUUCUCAAAAUAGUUAUUAACAGUCUUAAACCUCAUUAAAUGUUUUCAAAUGAUUACAAAUUCUCAAUUUAAAACUGGGCAAGCCUUAAAGGUUUUUAUGGCUGUUUAGAAAAGGCAAUGAUCAGCUCAGUGUGUCUUCAUGUAGCUAAGUGACUCCUCAUAAUUAUUCAAAAGGAUGACCUGGUUCAGAACUUGGGCUCUGGAGCCAGAGCAUCUGAGUUCAAAUCUUGACCUCACUACUUCCUAGCUGUGUGACGUUGCCAUUAGGUCAGUGAGCCAUUUACCUUGUGCCUCAGAUUCCUCACCUAAUAAAUGGAGAUGAUUACAGUUACACCUACCUCACAGAGUUAUGAAGAUUCAAUGUAUUAAUACAUAUAAAGCAAUUGGAAUGAUGCUUAGCACAAAAUUACCUACCCAGUUUCAUCAGUUAAUUUUUCCAUAUAGAAGCUAACUUAUAAAUUCCCCCAACUUUGUGUCCUAGUUUAGAUUCUCAUAUAAUCCAUUAUGUCGACAUGUAAUGUUGUUAAAGCUUCCUACCAUUGAAAAAAUGUGUAUAUAACAUCUGGACAUCAAAAAAAUGAGGUGAUUUUGUUAAAAGUUUGGUACUGUAAAGAAUUGUGACCUACUUUCUUUUGGUUUGUGAAGAGCCCAGCCUUUCGUACCUGAAGUUUUUUAGAACAUAAGAAACAUCACACUGAGUUGCACAUUCUCUCUCUGAUAGUGGUACCUAGAAGGCAGCCCCAGGGAUAACCUAGCUUCCCUCCAUAUGACCAAACUAAAGCCUUCAGGAAGGUACACCAAUGAUGUUGUAUUCCUUCCCUUGGACCCAUCAGGCAUCUCUCAUUCAUUUACGCCAAUCUUUAAAUCACAUGCCAUUUUUAAUCUAUCCCAAUCUAGAUGGGUGAGAAGCUAAAUACAUGUCUAUUUCUUUUUAUAUCUAACCUGAAAAUUACACUUUUAAUCUUCACUAAGCACCUUUUUGUUCUAAUUCCAUAGAUAAGGAAAUAAAGUAUAAAGCCAUGGCGGAUAUUUUGACUUAAUUCCUAGAGAACUUUAUUAAUCUGAUAAAGCCUGUAGGGGUGUUUUUGUUUUUUUUUUUUUUUCUGAAAAUCCAGUUAUGCUCAUGAUUUUCCUUAUUCAGAUCAGUGAAUUCUUCACCUGACCAAUGAAAAUGCUAAGACAUUUGCAGUUCAUUAUAAGAGAAGAAAUGGAUAUUUCCUGAGCAUAGUUUCUUAUUUUAUUUGCUACAAAUUGUCUAUUUGUACAUCAAUAUACUCUGAUUAGUUUGUUUAUGCCCUUGAGAUGUUACAUAAUUAAGUAUAUAAAAUGACUUAUUUUUACUUCCUUAAGGUAUAUGAUAACUAGAUUCAUAAAUUUAAAUUUUAAAGACUCAGUUUCAUUUAACAUGGAUUCCAGUAUUCCUGUAAGUAAAUAAUAAAUAGUAUUUAAUACCUAUAGCUAUACUUUAUAUCUGCAAUGGAGGAAAGCUGGUUAACACCUUUCCAUUAAUUUUAAAGAUGUGUUUUUUUAAAGAUGUGGUUUUUUAUAUUCACAAUAUAAAACAAGCAGCCCAUCCACCACUUUUUUCCUUUACAUGCAUAAAUCAAAUAAAUAGAGCUUUAAUACAUAUUAUUUAAGCAGAGCAUUAUUAGGCCAUACAUUUUUUUUUCAAAAUCUUGUCUUGAAGAUAGUAUGACAAAAGUUAUAACUCUACAAUUAUACCUGAGGAAUUCACCAAGGAGAAAUGGAAAUAUAUGUCCACACAAAGACUUGCAUGUGAAUAUUCAUGGCAGUGUUGUUUUUUAUUAAACAGAAAGUAGAAACAAUCCAAUGUCCAUCAACUGGUUGAAUGGUGAAAAAAAAUAUGAUCUAUCCAAGCAACAGCACACCAUUCAGCAAUAAAAAGACCUGCUAUGUAGCACAGGGAACUCCAUUCAAUACUGUGCAAAGAAUCUGAAAAAGAUAUGUACAUGUAUAACUGAAUCACUUUGCUGUACACCUGAAACUAACACAACCUUGUAAAACAGCUGUACACUAAUAAAUUUUUUUAAAAUAGUAAUGAAGUGAUGAUACACGCUACAACAUAGAUAAGCCUGAAAAAUACUAUGCUAAAUGAAAAAGAGCCAUAUGCAAAAACCAUGUAUCACAUGAUUCCAUUUAUAAGAAAUGCCCAGAAAAGGGAGAUCUGUGAGAUAGAAAGUAGAUUAGUGAGUGGUUGUCUGGGCCAGGAGGUAAGAAUGAUAAGGGGUGACUGCAGAUGGGCCCAAGGGAUCUUUACGGGGUGCUGGAAAUAAUCUGGAAGGAGAUUGUAGUGAUGGUUGUUCAAGUCUGUACAUUUACUAAAAAAUGAUUAAAUGAUACAUUUAAAACAAGUAAAUGUGUGGUAUAUAAAUUACACCUCAAUAAAGCUGUUUAAAAAAAGAUAACAUGGAACAUCUGAAAAUGUCAAAGGGUCUGGCUGACUUUGUUUCCAUUAGCACAUGUACAGAUAGGCCUCAAAACUGCCCCCCCAAGGGCAGUAUACAGGUGAUUUUCAGUCACAUACUUGACCGAGCAGGAAAAAACACACAUGGAUUUCAAGUUUACAAUGUCCCAGUCCUAUUCUCUUCCCAGAUGUUGUGAUAAGAGUCAGUUGCCAAUAAGGAUAAAUAUAUUUUAUAUAGUUAGCUUAGAAAUGUGGUUUUUUAAGUAUGCCUAUAUCCUUGUAUAUUCAUAAACAAUUUUUGGAAGUUAUCUAGGAAACAUCAUAGUGGGUACAACUGGGAAAUGUAAGAGGAUUAAAUAGGGGGAAAAGGUUGUGGAUUCAUUCUUGUUAUUUGGUAGCUUUUUUUUUACUGUUUAAAUGCUUUAUUUGUUCAUGUACUACUUUGGUAAUUUAAAAAUGUUUAUAAAAAAGAAAUUUGUGGUUUUUUAUAAAAUGCUUAGUAUUAGUAAAAUUAUAAAUGAUGAAAUAGAUACUAUAGUAAUGAUGCCUAUAUAUGUAUACUUUCAGUAUUUUGUUAUUCAUGUCUUUUUAUACUUCCUGAGGAAAAAUGUUUUCAUUAAAAAAUUUCCUACAACAAUUGAGCAAGUGCAGCAACAUCAGGUAUGAUUUAAAUCUGCAUACCACUGCAUUAAACAGAGAUGACUUUAGCGUGAUAUUUUGCAGUUAAUUAUUAAACUAUAUUGCUUCUUAGUGUCCUUUUUUCAUUUUUUAUUUUUUUGGCCGCACCUGUGGCAUAAGCAAGUUCCUGGAGCUAGGAGUUGAAUCAGAGCUGCAACUGUCAGCCUAUAUACCACAGCCACAACAACGCCAUAUCUGAGCUGCAUCUGCGACCUACGCCACAGCUUGUAGCAAAGCUGGAUCCUUAACCCAUUGAGUGAAGCCAGGGAUCAAACCCAUGUCUUCACGGACAUGAUGGUGGGUUCUUAAACCACUAAGCCACAAUGGGGAAACUCCCUUCAUGUCCUUUUUUAAAGUCAAAAGUAUUAAAUACCAUGGGAUAAAUUUUACCUAAGUUUGGUUUUAAAACUUAUUUGCCAGUCUUAAAUAACAACAGUGUCACAUGCACCACUGUAACUGCUCUAGAUGUAUCAACUCAUUUAAUCCUCACAAUAACUAGAAAAGGGACAUGCUAUUUAAUUGUCAUUUUCCUGAUGAGGUUACUAUAUAUGGAGAGAUUAAGGAACUUGCUCCAUUUCACACAGCUGAUAAGUGGUAGAGCUUGGAUUCAAACCCAGGCAUAGAUUUCAAGGCCCACGCUCUUAUCCAUGACACAGCUGUCUCUUAAUGGAGGUAUGUAAGGAUAAACUAAUAUUGGACUUACAUUAGGAAGAUGAAAAGUGCUCUAAUUAUUCAAACAGUUUUAUUAUCUAUUCAGUUUUUAAGAAUGGGGGGACCAGGGAAGAACUGCAGUAAUUUACUUAAAUAAGCCAGAAAAACAACAUAAAGUAUUAUGCACUUAAGUUGCAGGCAUUGAAAAAAAGGUCGCUUAACAUUGAGAAUCAUUGAGAAUCAUAAAUGGCAGCCCUAGAGGAGAAUUUUUUAAGGAAAAAUAAUAACUAAGAUGAGUUUGCUCUUGAAAAGAGGAGAGAGUCCUACCACACAAAAGAAAGAAAUUAUCUCAUUAAGAAUUUUUAAUACCAGGACUUAAUUUAAGGAGGCUCAAAGAAACAGACAACUGAAGCAUUACAUUUAAAAAUGGCUAUUUUAAAUUAUAUCUCCUAAAAUGGGGUUAUAUUAUUUAAAUGUAACUAAGAAUAAAAUAAAAUUUUUCUU